RNAcentral lists this ribosomal RNA (922 nucleotides) under uncultured bacterium. Its description in RNAcentral is "bacterial SSU rRNA". It matches the Rfam family "Bacterial small subunit ribosomal RNA", at positions 24 to 993 of the family's 1533-position model. The record is from RNAcentral.
UCAGAAUGAACGCUGGCGGCAGGCCUAAAACAUGCAAGUCGAGCGCUCUAGCAAUAGAGAGCGGCGCACGGGUGAGUAACACGUGGGAAUAUGCCUUUUGGUACGGAACAACCUCGGGAAACUGAGGCUAAUACCGCAUGGUCCCUUCGGGGUAAAGAUUUAUCGCCAAAAGAUUAGCCCGCGUUGGAUUAGCUAGUUGGUAAGGUAAUGGCUUACCAAGGCGACGAUCCAUAGCUGGUCUUAGAGGACGAUCAGCCACACUGGGACUGAGACACGGCCCAGACUCCUACGGGAGGCAGCAGUUAGGAAUAUUGGACAAUGGGCGCAAGCCUGAUCCAGCCAUGCCGCGUGAGUGAUGAAGGCCUUCGGGUUGUAAAGCUCUUUAGCCGACGAAUAUAAUGACUGUAGUCGGAGAAUAAGCCCCGGCUAACUUCGUGCCAGCAGCCGCGGUAAUACGAAGGGGGCGAGCGUUAUUCGGAAUCACUGGGCGUAAAGCGUGCGUAGGCUGUUUUGUAAGUUGGGAGUGAAAGCCCAGGGCUCAACCCUGGAAUUGCUCUCAAAACUACAAGACUUGAAUCCCGGAGAGGAUAGCGGAAUUGUCAGUGUAGCAGUGAAAUGCGUAGAUAUUGACAGGAACACCAGUGGCGUAAGCGGCUAUCUGGACGGGUAUUGACGCUGAGGCACGAAAGCGUGGGGAUCAAACAGGAUUAGAUACCCUGGUAGUCCACGCCGUAAACGAUGUGAGUUUGUCGCUGGGAGGUUUACCUCUCGGUGACGUAGCUAACGCGAUAAACUCACCGCCUGGGAAGUACGGCCGCAAGGCUAAAACUCAAAGGAAUUGACGGGGACCCGCACAAGCGGUGGAGUAUGUGGUUUAAUUCGUCGCAACGCGAAGAACCUUACCAGGCCUUGACAUGCCGAU